This is a long non-coding RNA of Parus major (Great Tit), 982 nucleotides long. RefSeq lists it as uncharacterized. The record is from RefSeq and is a predicted model, not a curated record. The transcript is spliced from 2 exons. NCBI's taxonomy places the organism in Eukaryota, Metazoa, Chordata, Aves, Passeriformes, Paridae.
UAAGCAAUAAAGAGCCCCUUUUUUUUUUUUCUCCUCCACUAUUUCUAGGUUAUUUUUAGGCUUUUGUCAGUGGGUCUUUGCUGCAGACACUCAGGGAUCUGGAGAAGUUCUCCUGUUUCACAUGCCCAGAGGAAGGGGAGCAACAUGCAGGGCAGGAGGUGCCAGUAAGAAGGGCUUCCCAACCCCGAUGGGGAUGCCCACGCCUUGGAGCACCCACUGCCCUGUGCAGCACACAGGAGCAAGCUCCUCUUCUCCCACCCAGCUGUGCUGUGCAAGACUUGGCCUUCCACAAGGGAGCUGUGAUGCCCACAUCUUCCCAGCUAUGCCAACAGCAGCCUUCACCUCUCCAGAGCCCAACCAAGGCAGCUCCUCCACGUGGUGCCAGCAGGGAGAUCCCUGUGCUGCUCCAGCUGCAGCCCACAGCAAGCUUGUUGUCUCCUGGAGAAUUGCAAAACCCGGAGCUUCGCUGCAGCUCUAAGAAGCUCAGAAAGAGACAGAACCUGCUGGAAGGCAGACGCCCACGUCGGCGCUGGGCCAGCUCGAACCUUCCAGGCUGUUUCGCAGCCCCGCAGCUGCUUGGCAAGGACACUGCUGACCCUCCCACGUCACAGCCCCGAGCAGCCGGGGCCAGCUGUGUCCAGGCGCUGGGCUGGGCUUGCUGUUUUUCUGCUUUAUCAGGAUCUUGCUGAGCUCGGCGGUGAGUGGGUCAUGUUUGUGCAGUGCUGGUUAUGUAAGCGCUCAGGGUUGCCCCGGAGGCUCGGCCGGAGCCGGGGACAGCCGAUCCCGCAGCCCUGCGCUCCGGGCAGUUGUGUCGCUGUCCCGGCUCGUUACGGAGGUGCCCGGCGUGUCCCUGAGCUGCCCGAGGCCCGGUGCCGUCAGGCUGCAGGCCAGGGGCCGCUGGCCGAGCCGCGCACCGGGGCAGCGCUGCAGCAGCCGCGGUCACCCCGCGCUGGCUCCCGGCGCUGCCAAGCGGCCGCGCCUG